AAGGGAGCCAGGAAGGAGCACAGAAUGAGCUUAAAACAAAUGGGAGUCAGAGUUCCCACUGUGGGGCAAUGGGAUUUGUGGUGUCUCUGGGACACAGGUUUGACCCCUGGCCAGCGCAGUGGGUUAAGGAUCCUGCAUUGCUGCAUCUGUGGUGUAAGUCACAACUGCAACUCAGAUUUGACCCUGUCCUGGGAAUUCCAUAUGCCUUGGGGUGGCAAAAAAAAAAAAGAAUAAAAAAGAAAUUGGAGUCAUGAGUAGUCAUACUAAUGAGCAAAGGAAAAACUCAUGCCCAUUUCCAUAGAGACAGGGAGAAAAUGUAGGACAGAGACAAUGGAGGGAAGCAGGGUCUAAGCCCAUCUGUUUUGUCAGAGCAACGCUUCUCCAGAUGUGGUCCCCAGACGAGCAGCAUCAGCAUCUCCUGGGGUCUUACUAGACACACACAUUCAUGGACCCCGUUCCUCACCUCCUGGGAAUCAGAAACCCUGGAUUGGAGAGGAGUUGGUGCCAGCCAUCUGCAUUUUAACCCAUCCUCCUCCCCCUUUCCCCUCCUCACCAGCCUCAGCUUGGUCCCCACCUCCACCACCCUGUGACACUGCCAUCUGCUGAAGCUGAAGACCCCCAAGUGAACACUCAGCAGGGGGCAGAUUCUAAAUAACUCGAGAAGACAAAUGCACAGCAGAAAACCUGGCCCAGGUGACUUACCUGCGCCUCCUGGAAAGACCAGAAAAUGUGCCCUUGACAGAGGGGCUCACAAGAUGACCCCCAAAAUGCCCUCUAUUGCAAAAUAGUUGGAAGUCGAGGUCCGCAACUGUUUCUGACAUGCUAGUUCCAAAAGUAAGCUAAAUGCCUUAGGCAUCCAACUCUGCAGAAGAACCCUCUCACCUGUAUUUCAGCCAUCUCCAGCAGUGCUGAAUGAGAAAAAAUCACCCAACAACAACCAAAUGCCAGGAAUCUAGAGAAUCAUGUAAAUUUGCACCUGCACAGGUGGGUAGUAUGUGAUAAGUGCUUCAUUAGAGAUGUGAUCACAGUGUGACUAAGCCCAGAGAUAGCCAUCACAGCCAACUGCAGAUAAUAAAGGAAGGCUUUACCCAACAGACCACAUUUAGUGUGGAGCUUGAAUCACCAGUAGAGUUUUACCAGGUUGAGAAAAGAGCAGAAAAAAAGAUUGGUGGGUCGUGAAGGGAGAGGAAGAUGGGAAGGUGGGUUACAAAGAGCCCCAGGGCCAGGCUGAGAAAGAGAAUACAUUAUUCUGUGGAAAGUGGAGACCCUUGAAGGCUUGGAGGCAGAGGGAUGGUUUGAUGAAAGAGACAGAUAGAAAGACCAUUUGGAGAGGGGUCCAGCUAGUGAGAUUCUAGGUGGGGUUUAUUCCUCUUUAUUUGUAUUCUUUCCUACCAUAAAUAUAUCUUACUCACUACUUCCUUUGGAAUGAAGAAGUAUGGUUGUGAAGAGAAGGAGCAACCCAGGACCAGAAAGCCCUGGAGACCCAGAAUUAAAGACAAGAGCAGUGACCAAGCCCAUGGGCAGAAGGGUUAGCCCUGGCAAAGAGUAGGGGCCAUCUGUGCUUCAAGAUCAGAAUGAAAGGGAUAAUAAUUCAUGACAUAGGAGUUUCUGAAGCAGAACAGAACUGAGAUCAUUUGUACCAGAGGCUUCUAUUUUCUUAGUCAUGAGACAGCCACAGCUUCCCCUGAGAAUACAGGGUCAGGGCUGGACUGGGAGCUUAAAGAGAUCUGCCAAGGUUUGGAACAAACAUCUAUCACCCCUAUAGUGUAUGUUAUGCAUCAGGAGCUGUCCUCUGUAUUUUACGUAUAUUAACUCGUGUAAUCCUCCCCACCACUCCAGGAGGGAGACACUACUAUUAUCCUACCCACUUGACAGAAAACUGCAGCUGAGAGGUUAUGGUAGAAGGUAAGAGACAUAGCUAGGAACUGAUCCCAGGCAGUCACCAGCCAAUGUCAGGAUUGAGGGAUGAAACACCCUGUGAAUGGCUGCAAGUUUGUAAAGUAGAAUUGAAAACUCAGCUGAGUUUAAAAGCCAUGCACUUGCCUCGGAGCCAAUCAGAAGUCCUGCUCUUGUGCACUGCUGUGGAGAGAGCUUUAGAGGAACUAUCAUAUAGUCGCCAAAGGAAAGACUUCUUGCCCACAAAACCUUGCCAUGAGUUGCAUCCACAGAAGGUGAAAUGGGCUUUGGGGUUGCGUGAGAAAGGCUGGGUAGGAGCUUUCCCGUGGAGAGCGCCAACUGUGGGCCAAUGGAUGUCCUGCUGAGCUGGGCCACCCGCAUCCCGGGGACUCAGAAGAGGGCUGCUUCCCAGCCACCGAGACUUUGCCUCAUCCAACUGUGGAAUUGGAAGUGCUUCAAGUAUUUGGGGGAAGAGCAGCUGCCAGCUAAGCUGAAUCAAAGAGCUAAAAAUAGCAAAAGCAAACACAAAGACACUGUGAAAAUCAGAUUAUUUGGGAAGCCAAGCCAAACUUAGAAAAACUACAAGAUGGGAGGAGAACAAGCAAAUAACACCAUAGCCUCCCUCCCCAGUUGUUGUGGGCUUGCUAAGCAGAACUCUCUCUCGCUGUACCUUCUAGGUAGAAAGGAUUUCAGGUCACUUUGCACUGCACAUCAAAGCGUUCAGAUCAGAUAAGCAAACUACCUUGUCUAAUACUGUGUUCACAUCAAACAGAAUCUAAAUCCUAGGGCGGCCAGAGGGUCCCUACUCCUUUCCCUACCAUCAGUGGGAUGGACCUGCCUUAUGCAUGAGGGAAAUAAAUCUCAAAAUCUUAAGUGUCUCAAAAAAAAAAAAAAUGCCCAGCCCCUGACACAACAUUUUGAGAUGCCCACAGGAGACCCAGCCAAGACUGGGAUCUGUUAGGAUACACUUGGCUACCACACCAGAGAACCUCCUGAACAGUGACCUCACCCAUAAGGGUGUAUAUGUUUUUGUGAAGUAACAAGACAAUUGGGGGAAGUUAAUUCCAGGGUCAGUUCAGCAGUUCUAUGUUGUCAGUACAUCGGUCAGUGCAGUUGAAGUCAGGGGCGGAUAGGUGUGGUCCACAGUGUCUGCCCACCUAGUUAUGUAGAGAGAGGCUCACUUUCUGCUCAGGCUGAUGUCUUAAUGCCCAGCCCUUCCCAGGGGAUAGCAAUGUGUUCUUCAGCUAUUAGUCGCUCCUGUCUUCUCCAUCUUCUGGAGACCACUAGCAUUCCUUGGCUCAUGAUCCCUUCCUUCAUCUUCAAAGUACAUCACUGCAACUUCCCUUCCAUCAGAAACUUGGCCUCUGUGUACCAAUGAAGAAUAGAAAGGCAGAGACAGGGUUUGGGGCAAAAGUAGAAAGGGGUAGAUGUUAUAGCUUUGCCAGGCAAACAAGGCCACAGAAGGCUAAUGCCCUAAAGACUGUGCCCUCCUUUGGGAGAGAAUAGGAGGGGCCUUAUAGUUUGGGAGUGGAAAAUAGGGCCACAGAUAAGGAUGACCAUAGAUGCAAGCUUGGGUUCCUCUUCACAGCUGGUGUCAGGUGGUCCCAGAAACGUUUCUGGAGCCCCACAGGAUCCUGCUUGGUUUCAUCAUCAUAUCCCCCACCCUCCUUCUCUGGCUCUCUUCCCUAAUUCUUUACAAAGACCUUAUUACUGCCUUGGACCUGCCUAGACCAUCCAGGACAAUCUCCCCCAUGUUGAGGUCCUUAACUUAAUUAUACCUACAAAGGCCCUAUAGCCACGUAAGAUAAGAUAGUCAUAGAGUCUAAGGAUUAGGGCAUGAUCAUCCUUAGAGGAUCAUUAUUCAGGACCUCAAAAAAAAAACACCUCUCUUUGGUGAUAUCUUCUAUGCUCUCACUCACUUUGAGGAAACAAGCCAUUCUUCCUAAAGAUUUAAUCAGAUAAUUCCAGAAAUGUCCACCUGUGUUCCCUAGAUAGCCCUCUUGGAUACCCCAGGCAGUUUGGCUUCCCUGCAGCAGGUGUGAUGAGGUUAAUGAUGACCUUUUAUUUGGGGCCACACAGUGAUGCUUCUGAUAGUGUGUAUUUAAGGGUUUUUCAAAGAAAUAGAAUCAACAUGAGUUUGGGUUUAAGUAUACAUAUAGAUGUAGAUAUAGAUAUAGAUGAAGAGAUUUAUUAUAAGUAGUUGGCUCACACAAUUAUGGAGUCUGACAAGUCCAAAAUCAGCAUAGCCCACAUCCCAGUUUGAGUCCAAAAGCCAGAAGCUGCUGUAGAACCAGGAAGAGCUGAUGUACCAGUUUUAAAGGCACCAGGGGGAGUUCUCAUUUUGGCUUGAUGGGUUAAGAACCCGACUAGUAUCCAUGAGGAUGCAAGAUCCAUCCCUGGCCUCGCUCAGUGGGUUAGGGAUUCAGUGUUGUGGUGAGCUGUGGUUUAGGUUGAAGACAUGGCUCAGAUCCAUCCUGCAUUUCUGUGGCUGUAGCAUAGGUCAGCAGCUGCAGCUCCAGUUUGACUCCUAGCCUGGGAACUUCCAUAUGCUGCAGGUGUGGCCCUAAAAAGGGAAGCCGAAUUCUCUGUUGCUCAUGGAGGGUCAAUCUUUUUGUUUUAUUCAGGCCUUCCACUGAUUGGCUGAGGCCCACCCACAUGAGGGAAAGAAAUUGCUGAUGUAAAUGUUAAUCUCCUCCUUCCAAAAAGAGAAACACCCAGAAUAAUGUUUGAUGAAAUAUCUGGACCUCUCCAUGGCCUAGGCAAGCUGACAUCUAAAAUGAACCAUCCCCCAGCAUCAGCAGCAGAGAGAACAGCUGUGCUGCUUGUGCCCCCUGGGGCAGGUGUCCCCCAGCCCUGACACAGCCACUGGUGCCACUGUAGUGUGCACAAGGGGUGCCCAGAGACCACCGGAACCUAGCACAGUAGCCAACACUUCACAGUCAGCACACACUUGGAGCUCAUGCAGGGCAGCCUGAGGGUCCCACAAAGAAGGCAAGAAUAGGGAGUUCCCAUUGUGGCUCAGCGGAAAGAAAUCUGACUAUGAGGACGCAGGUUCAAUCCCUGGCCUUGCUCCCUGGGUUAAAGAUCCGGCAUUGCCUUGAGCUGUGGCAGAGGUCUCAAACAUGCCUUGGAUCUGGUGUUGCUGUGUCUGUGGCGUAGGCCAGCAGUUAUAGCUCUGAUUCGCCCCCUAGCCUGGGAACCCCAUAUGCCAUGAGUGUGGCCCCAAAAAGACCAAAAAAAGAAGGCAGGAAUGUAACUCUGCAGACCCUUUAUCAAAGCUACCUCUUCUGGAGGAAGAAGAAUGUGCCCCUCCUCACUUAUAGCCACUUCCUCACCCUGUGAACCAAACUAUAUAUUUUUUUUCAUUUUUCAGAAAUUCUAUUGAAGCGUAGUUAAUUUAUAAUAUUGUGUUAAUUUCUGCUGUACAGAAAAAUGAUUCAGUUAUACAUGUACACACAUCCAUUCUUUUUCAUUUUCUUUUCCCAUGUAGGUUACCACAGAAUAUUGAGUAGAUUUCCCCGUGCUAUACAACAGGUACUUGUUGACCAUUCAUUCCAUAUACAAUAGUGCGCAUAUGCCAAUUCCAAACCACCAAUUCGCCCCACCACCUGUCCCCUUUGUAACCAUAAGUUUGUUUCCUAUGUCCAUGGGUCUGUUUCUGUUGUAUAAAUAAGUUCACUUGUAUCAGUUUUUCAGAUUCCGCAUAGAAGUG
Molecule: long non-coding RNA, 5608 nt
Filed under: Sus scrofa (pig)
Lineage: Eukaryota; Metazoa; Chordata; Mammalia; Artiodactyla; Suidae
Description: lncRNA (ENSSSCG00025020376.1)
Source: RNAcentral